RNAcentral lists this ribosomal RNA (549 nucleotides) under uncultured Bifidobacterium sp. RNAcentral's name for it is "bacterial SSU rRNA". It matches the Rfam family "Bacterial small subunit ribosomal RNA", at positions 147 to 711 of the family's 1533-position model. The record is from RNAcentral. Lineage: Bacteria; Bacillati; Actinomycetota; Actinomycetes; Bifidobacteriales; Bifidobacteriaceae.
CUCCUGGAAACGGGUGGUAAUGCCGGAUGUUCCAGUUGAUCGCAUGGUCUUCUGGGAAAGCUUUCGCGGUAUGGGAUGGGGUCGCGUCCUAUCAGCUUGACGGCGGGGUAACGGCCCACCGUGGCUUCGACGGGUAGCCGGCCUGAGAGGGCGACCGGCCACAUUGGGACUGAGAUACGGCCCAGACUCCUACGGGAGGCAGCAGUGGGGAAUAUUGCACAAUGGGCGCAAGCCUGAUGCAGCGACGCCGCGUGAGGGAUGGAGGCCUUCGGGUUGUAAACCUCUUUUAUCGGGGAGCAAGCGUGAGUGAGUUUACCCGUUGAAUAAGCACCGGCUAAUUACGUGCCAGCAGCCGCGGUAAUACGUAGGGUGCAAGCGUUAUCCGGAAUUAUUGGGCGUAAAGGGCUCGUAGGCGGUUCGUCGCGUCCGGUGUGAAAGUCCAUCGCUUAACGGUGGAUCCGCGCCGGGUACGGGCGGGCUUGAGUGCGGUAGGGGAGACUGGAAUUCCCGGUGUAACGGUGGAAUGUGUAGAUAUCGGGAAGAACACCA